AGUGAACGCUGGCGGUAGGCCUAACACAUGCAAGUCGAACGGCAGCACAGUAAGAGCUUGCUCUUACGGGUGGCGAGUGGCGGACGGGUGAGGAAUACAUCGGAAUCUACUUUUUCGUGGGGGAUAACGUAGGGAAACUUACGCUAAUACCGCAUACGACCUACGGGUGAAAGCAGGGGAUCUUCGGACCUUGCGCGAUUGAAUAAGCCGAUGUCGGAUUAGCUAGUUGGCGGGGGAAAGGCCCACCAAGGCGACGAUCCGUAGCUGGUCUGAGAGGAUGACCGGCCACACUGGAACUGAGACACGGUCCAGACUCCUCCGGGAGGCGGCGGUGGGGAAUAUUGGACAAUGGGCGCAAGCCUGAUCCAGCCAUACCGCGUAGGUGAAGAAGGCCUUCGGGUUUUAAAGCCCUUUUGUUGGGAAAGAAAAGCAGCAGGUUAAUACCCCGCUGUUCUGACGGUACCCAAAGAAUAAGCACCGGCUAACUUCGUG
Molecule: ribosomal RNA, 492 nt
Filed under: uncultured bacterium
Lineage: Bacteria
Description: partial 16S ribosomal RNA
Rfam family: Bacterial small subunit ribosomal RNA
Source: RNAcentral